ACGCAUUUUGAAAACUUGGUCACUCCUUACGGGGGAGACAGUCAUGAGACGUGAGUAUAAGACCUGAGUGUAAAGACCUUAGGGUGAAGCAAUUGGAGGGCAAGCUUUGGUGCCAGCAGCCGCGGUAACUCCAACUCCAAGAGUGUCUAUGGUGGAUGCUGCAGUUAAAGGGUCCGUAGUCGUGAAUGCAAUUAAAUGUCGUUGUUCAAUAGCGAUGAGUUUGCUAAUGUUUGCGGAACGGAUAGGGAGUGUAGUAUAGACUGGCGAAGAAUGAAAUCUCAAGACCCAGUUUGGACUAACGGAGGCGAAGGCGACACUCUUAGACGUAUCUUAGGAUCAAGGACGAAGGCAGGAGUAUCGAAAGUGAUUAGACACCGCUGUAGUUCCUGCAGUAAACUAUGCCGACAGCCUGUGUGUGAGAAUACGUGGGCGGGAGAAAUCUUAGUGUUCGGGCUCUGGGGAUAGUACGCUCGCAAGGGUGAAACUUAAAGCGAAAUUGACGGAAGGACACUACCAGGAGUGGAUUGUGCUGCUUAAUUUAACUCAACGCGGGAAAACUUACCAGGGUCAAGUCAUUCGUUGAUCGAAUACGUGAGAAUGGCAGGAGGGGGGGCAUGGGAAGGGCUU
This 627-nucleotide ribosomal RNA is filed under the name Enterocytozoon bieneusi. RNAcentral describes it as "SSU rRNA". It matches the Rfam family "Microsporidia small subunit ribosomal RNA", at positions 285 to 916 of the family's 1311-position model. Lineage: Eukaryota; Fungi; Microsporidia; Enterocytozoonidae. The record is from RNAcentral.